RNAcentral lists this ribosomal RNA (490 nucleotides) under uncultured bacterium. Its description in RNAcentral is "partial 16S ribosomal RNA". It matches the Rfam family "Bacterial small subunit ribosomal RNA", at positions 28 to 523 of the family's 1533-position model. The record is from RNAcentral.
GACGAACGCUGGCGGCGUGCUUAACACAUGCAAGUCGAGCGGAAAGGCCCUUUCGGGGGUACUCGAGCGGCGAACGGGUGGGUAACACGUGAGUAAUCUGCCCUUGGCUUUGGGAUAACCACCGGAAACGGUGGCUAAUACCGGAUACGACCACUCCCGGCAUCGGGUGGUGGUGGAAAGUUUUUUCGGCCAGGGAUGUGCUCGCGGCCUAUCAGCUUGUUGGUGGGGUAAUGGCCUACCAAGGCUUCGACGGGUAGCCGGCCUGAGAGGGUGACCGGCCACACUGGGACUGAGACACGGCCCAGACUCCUACGGGAGGCAGCAGUGGGGAAUAUUGGACAAUGGGCGGAAGCCUGAUCCAGCAACGCCGCGUGAGGGAUGACGGCCUUCGGGUUGUAAACCUCUUUCAGUACCGACGAAGCGCCGAUGAUGGCGGUGACGGUAGGUACAGAAGAAGCACCGGCCAACUACGUGCCAGCCGCCGCAGUAA